AGUGAACGCUGGCGGUAGGCCUAACACAUGCCAGUCGAACGGCAGCACAGUAAGAGCUUGCUCUUACGGGUGGCGAGUGGCGGACGGGUGAGGAAUACAUCGGAAUCUACUUUUUCGUGGGGGAUAACGUAAGGAAACUUACGCUAAUACCGCAUACGACCUACGGGUGAAAGCAGGGGAUCUUCGGACCUUGCGCGAUUGAAUGAGCCGAUGUCGGAUUAGCUAGUUGGCGGGGUGAAGGCCCACCAAGGCGACGAUCCGUAGCUGGUCUGAGAGGAUGAUCAGCCACACUGGAACUGAGACACGGUCCAGACUCCUACGGGAGGCAGCAGUGGGGAAUAUUGGACAAUGGGCGCAAGCCUGAUCCAGCCAUACCGCGUGGGUGAAGAAGGCCUUCGGGUUGUAAAGCCCUUUUGUUGGGAAAGAAAAGCAGCAGGUUAAUACCCCGCUGUUCUGACGGUACCCAAAGAAUAAGCACCGGCUAACUUCGUG
This 492-nucleotide ribosomal RNA is filed under the name uncultured bacterium. RNAcentral's name for it is "partial 16S ribosomal RNA". It matches the Rfam family "Bacterial small subunit ribosomal RNA", at positions 29 to 507 of the family's 1533-position model. The record is from RNAcentral.